GUCAGCAGCCGCGGUAACACCGGCGGCCCGAGUGGUGAUCGUGAUUAUUGGGUCUAAAGGGUCCGUAGCCGGUUGGUCAGUCCUCCGGGAAAUCUGACAGCUCAACUAUUAGGCUUUCGGGGGAUACUGCCAGGACUUGGAACCGGGAGAGGUAAGAGGUACUACAGGGGUAGGAGUGAAAUCUUGUAAUCCCUGUGGGACCACCUGUGGCGAAGGCGUCUUACCAGAACGGGUUCGACGGUGAGGGACGAAAGCUGGGGGCACGAACCGGAUUAGAUACCCGGGUAGUCCCAGCCGUAAACGAUGCUCGCUAGGUGUCAGGCAUGGCGCGACCGUGUCUGGUGCCGCAGGGAAGCCGUGAAGCGAGCCACCUGGGAAGUACGGCCGCAAGGCUGAAACUUAAAGGAAUUGGCGGGGGAGCACAACAACGGGUGGAAGCCUGCGGUUUAAUUGGACUCAACGCCGGACAACUCACCGGGGGCGACAGCAAUAUGUAGGCCAAGCUGAAGACUUUGCCUGAAUCGCUGAGGGGAGGUGCAUGG
Molecule: ribosomal RNA, 542 nt
Filed under: uncultured archaeon
Lineage: Archaea
Description: bacterial SSU rRNA
Rfam family: Archaeal small subunit ribosomal RNA
Source: RNAcentral